CCUCUUCCAUCAACCACGGAUCUGUGCCCAGCGGUCCUCUGCUUUUCUUCGUGGAGUCAGGGUCGACUGCUGUGCAGCUCGAUAACAGCAUGGAGCCAUCAACUUGUUAUGGUGUCAAUCAUCCUAUCGACAGGUCCAAGAAGGACUCGGUCUUUAGCUCCCUCGUGGGUCGUCGCAAGACGGCUUGCGAGUUGCGGCCUCUGACUGGAGGCACUAUAAUCCAACCCUCUUUUCCGAGACCGUCGGUCCGUGAGGUUGGGGAAAACCAUGGUAGCCUACAUUU
This 283-nucleotide small RNA is filed under the name Tolypocladium ophioglossoides CBS 100239. RNAcentral's name for it is "A. fumigatus sRNA Afu_309". It matches the Rfam family "A. fumigatus sRNA Afu_309". The record is from Rfam by way of RNAcentral. Lineage: Eukaryota; Fungi; Ascomycota; Sordariomycetes; Hypocreales; Ophiocordycipitaceae.